Molecule: ribosomal RNA, 301 nt
Filed under: uncultured bacterium
Lineage: Bacteria
Description: partial 16S ribosomal RNA
Rfam family: Bacterial small subunit ribosomal RNA
Source: RNAcentral
CAGUAGCCGCGGGAAUACGUAGGGUGCAAGCGUUAAUCGGAAUUACUGGGCGUAAAGCGUGCGCAGGCGGUUAUAUAAGACAGAUGUGAAAUCCCCGGGCUCAACCUGGGAAAUGCAUUUGUGACUGUAUAGCUAGAGUACGGCAGAGGGGGAUGGAAUUCCGCGUGUAGCAGUGAAAUGCGUAGAUAUGCGGAGGAACACCGAUGGCGAAGGCAAUCCCCUGGGCCUGUACUGACGCUCAUGCACGAAAGCGUGGGGAGCAAACAGGAUUAGAUACCCCCGUAGUCCCUGUCUCUUAUAC